RNAcentral lists this small nucleolar RNA (88 nucleotides) under Nannospalax galili (Upper Galilee mountains blind mole rat). Its description in RNAcentral is "Small nucleolar RNA SNORA63 (ENSNGAG00000004740.1)". The record is from RNAcentral. Lineage: Eukaryota; Metazoa; Chordata; Mammalia; Rodentia; Spalacidae.
UAGUAGGCCUCCUGCUUAAAGCAUUUGAUACAUAAGUAUCUCUUCCUAGCUCCACCAUAGUAAGACAGGGAUGCUUGGUUUCAAACAU